This is a long non-coding RNA of Homo sapiens (human), 277 nucleotides long. Ensembl annotates it as long intergenic non-protein coding RNA 1034. The record is from Ensembl. NCBI's taxonomy places the organism in Eukaryota, Metazoa, Chordata, Mammalia, Primates, Hominidae.
GGGAACUUGGAGCAGAAGAAAGGAAAGGGAGACAUUAGGAGGGAAGCCCUGAGCCUCACAAGAGCAGAGAAGUAAGAAACUGUGGAUGAAAAGGGAGAACAUGCUGAGAGGUAUGAGGGAGACACCAAGAAUAAGCAGCAGAGGUAUAAUUUCAGAGAACCUGUAAGAAACCUCUUCAAGCUAUUGCAAGAAACACUCACUUCUAAAAAUAAAGAGAAAUCUGUUUUCCCUACUUGUAUUUCAAGUUAUCUAAAAGUAAAACCAAUUACACAGUGAU